Molecule: ribosomal RNA, 303 nt
Filed under: uncultured bacterium
Lineage: Bacteria
Description: partial 16S ribosomal RNA
Rfam family: Bacterial small subunit ribosomal RNA
Source: RNAcentral
AGCAGUCGCCACGGUAAUACGAAGGGGGCUAGCGUUGUUCGGGAUCACUGGCGUAAAGGGUGCGUAGGCGGAUUCUUAAGUCAGGGGUGAAAUCCCGAGGCUCAACCUCGGAACUGCCUUUGAUACUGGGGAUCUUGAGUCCGGAAGAGGUGAGUGGAACUGCGAGUGUAGAGGUGAAAUUCGUAGAUAUUCGCAAGAACACCAGUGGCGAAGGCGGCUCACUGGUCCGGAACUGACGCUGAGGCACGACAGCGUGGGGAGCAAACAGGAUUAGAUACCCCAGUAGUCCCUGUCUCUUAUACC